This 272-nucleotide unclassified non-coding RNA is filed under the name plant metagenome. RNAcentral's name for it is "partial contains small subunit ribosomal RNA, internal transcribed spacer 1, and 5.8S ribosomal RNA". The record is from RNAcentral.
UUUCCGUAGGUGAACCUGCGGAAGGAUCAUUAAUGAGUUGUCAUGGGGUUCGAUGCUGGCAGCCAGUUUUUGGAUGCAUGUGCUUGCCCUAACAAUCAUCUUCUUACAAACACCUGUGCACAUUUUUGAGGGAGUCUUGAGUGGGUUGCCGCUCUUGGGUGAUUUUCUCACAUUCCCUUAAAGCAUUAUACGCUAUUAACAAUGUUGAACGUGCUCUGUGCCGCAAGGCCAUUAAUAUAAUACAACUUUUAACAACGGAUCUCUUGGCUCUC